RNAcentral lists this long non-coding RNA (262 nucleotides) under Athene cunicularia (burrowing owl). RNAcentral's name for it is "lncRNA (ENSACUG00000005490.1)". The record is from RNAcentral. Lineage: Eukaryota; Metazoa; Chordata; Aves; Strigiformes; Strigidae.
AAAUUAAUCACAGGAACGAAACACACUCUGGAUUUUCUUCCGAUGUGCAGACUGCACUGAUUGAAGUAUUGAAUCCACUUACAGCACCACCUUCCUAAUAUCACAGCCAUGUUGUACAGGCAACACAUUCUACAGAAGUGAAAACUGAGACUCAUCUAGUACAAGUAUUUCCACAGUAUUAUACAGGAUUGGACUGGCUAUAUGACAGGUUCAAGUCAUGGAGCUUCCCAUAUGGUAUGAAGGAAUUUUUUAAGAAAAAGCU